Molecule: non-coding RNA, 1226 nt
Organism: Danio rerio (zebrafish)
Lineage: Eukaryota; Metazoa; Chordata; Actinopteri; Cypriniformes; Danionidae
Source: RefSeq, a predicted model, not a curated record
AGGGUAUUCCUGCACAACUGGAGUGGCUGCACUCUCAGGACCGCAUUUUUAGGACCGCAUCUUUAGGACCCUAGUUUUUUGUGACAGCGUCACCUGUCGGAUUGGAUCAUGGAUGCGCUAAUGGACGACACGGAUGACAAGGAAAGUGCCAUCGUACAUCCUCUGGGUGUCUUGAGGAGCUGGUCUUUGGAUAAUGCUGAGCAGGUCUUUCUUUCUGGUAAAGAUUAUUAUUACAGUGAAGUAAAAGAAUUUAACAGACAGAUUUACAAACAACUGACGAAAGAAGGGAGACCAUUCAAUAGUCCCUUUAUUUAUCAGGGGUUGCCACAGCAGAAGGAACUGCCAACUUAUCCAGCAUAUGUUUUACACAGCGGAUGCCCUUCCAGCUGCAACCCAGUACUGGGAAACACCCAUUUACACUCAUACACUUGAACAUGGGGAGAACAUGCAAACUCCACACAGAAAUGACCACUGGCCCAGCCGGGGCUUGAACCAGCAACCUUCUUGCUGUGAAGCGACGGUGCUAACCACUGUGCUGCCCUAUGUGCUCUAUGCGGGUGAGUGGGAUUGACAAACCACUUGGAGGGAACACUCUUGCUGUCUUAACCAGACAUUUUGUUAUAAAUAAUCAUGUGCGUUUCAUGUUUAUUCAUAUAACUGCUAUUUUAUCUCUUAGCACUUCAUUUUUGUCUUGAUAUUUAAUAUCUCUUGUUUAAAUACACUAUGAACAGCAGCUGCGCUAAUUAUUUUCCUUGUUCCCUAUUUCCACCUGGGGAUAUUCAUCCAGAGGCCUCUAGAGAUCGUAACCUGUGAAGAGAUGAUGCCACCAUAGAGGACUUCUAAAUGUAUCCAUAAUCCUGAAACAGACCGUAUCAUGAGCAGAUGCUGUGGUGGUCAUGGAGAAGUGGAGAGCAUGAGACUGAUUAAUGAAAGACCCCAGUGACAGAUGAGUGCCCACAUUGACCCUGUGGUCCAGCCUGAAAACCAGCUGGUGACCUACUCACACCUGCAGCUUCUCUAUGAUGGACGCCCAGUGUUUGCCUCCAGCGCCUAGACUGCAGCUCUGCAUGUGAAGUGUGGCCAGAAGAGAAAUGGUUGUUCCCAACUGAGCCUAGUUUCUCUCAAGGAGCUAAAGUCUACAGCCAGUCUGAAUGCAGCAACUGAAUAAACAGUGGGGUCAAUUUUGUGGUUGAAUUGCAUUAAUAAAAAAAAAGUGUGGAUAUUUA